AGCAGCCGCGGUAAUUCCAGCUCCAAUAGCGUAUAUUAAAGUUGUUGCAGUUAAAAAGCUCGUAGUUGAAUUUCGGGAUCAAAUUGCUGGUCGUGCCUCGGUACGCACUGGCAUUAUUGGUUCCUACCUUCUGAAGAAUCGCGAUGUCAUUAAUUUGGUGUCGUGGGGAAUCAGGACUGUUACUUUGAAAAAUUAGAGUGUUUAAAGCAGGCUUACGCUUGAAUACAUUAGCAUGGAAUAAUGAAAUAGGACGUUUGAUUCUAUUUUGUUGGUUUCUAGGAUUGACGUAAUGAUUAAUAGGGAUAGUUGGGGGCAUUAGUAUUCAAUUGUCAGAGGUGAAAUUCUUGGAUUUAUUGAAGACUAACUACUGCGAAAGCAUUUGCCAAGGAUGUUUUCAUUAAUCAAGAACGAAAGUUAGGGGAUCGAAGACGAUCAGAUACCGUCGUAGUC
This 450-nucleotide ribosomal RNA is filed under the name uncultured Glomus. RNAcentral's name for it is "SSU rRNA". It matches the Rfam family "Eukaryotic small subunit ribosomal RNA", at positions 569 to 1025 of the family's 1831-position model. The record is from RNAcentral. Lineage: Eukaryota; Fungi; Glomeromycota; Glomeromycetes; Glomerales; Glomeraceae.